RNAcentral lists this ribosomal RNA (1403 nucleotides) under uncultured bacterium. RNAcentral's name for it is "bacterial SSU rRNA". It matches the Rfam family "Bacterial small subunit ribosomal RNA". The record is from RNAcentral.
UUAGAGUUUGAUCCUGGCUCAGGAUGAACGCUGGCGGCGUGCCUAACACAUGCAAGUCGAACGGAGUUAUGAGAGCUUGCUUUUAUAACUUAGUGGCGGACGGGUGAGUAAUGCGUGAGCAACCUGCCUUUCAGAGGGGGACAACAGUUGGAAACGACUGCUAAUACCGCAUAACGUAUUCGGAUGGCAUCAUCUGGAUACCAAAGGAGCAAUCCGCUGAAAGAUGGGCUCACGUCUGAUUAGUUAGUUGGCAGGGUAACGGCCUACCAAGACUGCGAUCAGUAGCCGGACUGAGAGGUUGAACGGCCACAUUGGGACUGAGAUACGGCCCAGACUCCUACGGGAGGCAGCAGUGGGGAAUAUUGGGCAAUGGACGGGAGUCUGAACCAGCCAAGUCGCGUGCGGGAUGAAGGCCCUACGGGUCGUAAACCGCUUUAGCCGGGGAGUAACGUGGGGGACGCGUCCCUCAGUGAGAGUACCCGGAGAAUAAGCAUCGGCUAACUCCGUGCCAGCAGCCGCGGUAAUACGGAGGAUGCAAGCGUUAUCCGGAUUUAUUGGGUUUAAAGGGUGCGUAGGCUGUUGUUCAAGUCAGAGGUGAAAGCCCGGGGCUCAACUCCGGAACUGCCUUUGAUACUGGGCGGCUUGAAUCCUGUUGCCGUGGGAGGAAUGAGUAGUGUAGCGGUGAAAUGCGUAGAUAUUAGGAGGAACACCAGUGGCGAAGGCGGCUUACUGGACGAUAACUGACGUUGAGGCUCGAAAGCGUGGGGAGCAAACAGGAUUAGAUACCCUGGUAGUCCACGCGGUAAACGAUGAAUACUAGGUGUUGGGUGGCAAUAGCCAUUCGGUGCCGCAGCAAACGCAAUAAGUAUUCCACCUGGGGAGUACGUUCGCAAGAAUGAAACUCAAAGGAAUUGACGGGGACCCGCACAAGCGGUGGAGCAUGUGGUUUAAUUCGAUGAUACGCGAGGAACCUUACCCGGGCUCGAACGGCUGGUGAAGAGAUCCAGAGAUGGUGACGUCCUUCGGGACACCAGUCGAGGUGCUGCAUGGUUGUCGUCAGCUCGUGUCGUGAGAUGUUGGCUCAAGUGCCAUAACGAGCGCAACCCUUGCUGCCAGUUACCAGCGCAUAAUGGCGGGGACUCUGGCGGGACUGCCACCGUAAGGUGUGAGGAAGGCGGGGAUGACGUCAAAUCAGCACGGCCCUUACGUCCGGGGCGACACACGUGUUACAAUGACAGCUACAGAGGGAAGCUACCUGGCGACAGGAUGCAGAUCUCGAAAAGCUGCCUCAGUUCGGACUGGAGUCUGCAACCCGACUCCACGAAGCUGGAUUCGCUAGUAAUCGCGCAUCAGCCAUGGCGCGGUGAAUACGUUCCCGGGCCUUGCACACACCGCCCGUCAAG